UAGAAAGAGCAAUACAGUAAUAGUAAAACUCGAGCGUCACGACAUUGCGAAGUGUCUGAUCUUGUUCCUCGUGUCGUACUCUCGAGUCCAUCCGAGAUGGCCCGAGUGAAAUUUCAUGCAAAUGUUUCGUACGGGAAAAAAAAUCGCCUCCGGGUCGGGUCUGGAUCACAUGGUCUGGAUUGUGUUGAAAAAUUUACAUGUCGCGAUCGGUAUAUGCAAGCAAAGAGUAUAAAUAGAACUUCUAGAAGUUCUAUUUAUACUCUUUGAUGCAAGCUAAUGGCGAUGAGUUAGGAAAGGAAGAUUAAAAACAGAUUUCACUCAACUCUCAAAUAAAAACACUUGCAACAUGACUUUUGUUUUAACAUUUAUUCAUACUUCUGGCAGAAAAUAUAAGAACCAUGAAAAAUGAACCAAAGAUAACCAUGACAAAUGAAGAAACAAUAUUCCUAAGGAGUUACAUCAUUUCAUUGCUGUGCAUGAGAAAUGCAUGCAGAUCAGGUGUCAUCACUAAUAUGACCUUGCAAGAGUUUAAAAUAGCUGAACACAUGGAAGGCAAAUGGUGUGUGACAAAAAGAUAAGAACCAUCACAAAUGAACCGUUAAAAAAGAUAGGAACCAUCACAAAUGAAGAAACUGUCUUUUUUAGAAGUUACAUAAAUGCAUGCAGAUCCGGUGUGAUUACGAAUAUGACUCUGCAGGAGUUCAAAAUGGCCGAAAACGUUCAAGUUAAAUGGUGUGUGACAGUAACAAAACAUGAAGGAUAUCAAUAUAUUCUCACGUAUCGGACGAGACAUAAAAUUGUAAAUUACGGAAAAAAAACCAGGAAUUCAUCUUAUGUGCAGACAAUCCGCAACACAGUAUUACUGAAAAAAAAGCUGCUGGUAUGAAUGAAUGCAAUUUUACAUUUUUUAUGAACAUUUAAAAGCCCUGAUCGCCUUACAUAUGAGGUUAUACAGUAGUUGGUGCAGUGUUCUCCCCUGGCCCAUAAAGCGUCAUGAUACCUUGACGCUUGUGACUUACCCCUGUGAUGGUUCCAAGGUGGCCAUGAUGCUUGGUAUGUAUACCGUGACUAUUUACAAUGUCAGUCAAUAAACAAUGCUGUUCAUAGUAUGCAUAUUUCCAUUAUAACUCCCUGGUAUUUCCUAGUUAGCCUUGGUUUGAACAAGAGUGAGUGAAAAUAAUUUUAAAUGACAGCCACUUUAUAGCAAUUAGACACUAGAUCCGCCCCUGAAUGCAAUUCUUUAAGUAAUAUUUUGAUUUUUUUUUUCAAUAUUAUUAAGAUAAUGUUGCUUAGGAGAUAAAACACAUUAAUUAAAAUAAAAUUUACACAAAACUACAAUAAAUCAACUGUAAAGGACUAAAGUAAAAUUAACUUGAAAUAUGCUUUCAAAGCACAUAAAAAUGUUCAACUAUUCUUACAUAUCUUUUUUUAAAAAAUCAAAAUUAAAUGGUUUUACAUAUUUCAUAUACUACCACAAUACAAAAAAAUGAUGAAACAAGUUAUUUAAAAAAAAUUAGAUUGCAAACCAUAAAACAGCCGUUCAGGGCCCAGCAAUUCUAAUACUGGAGGAUGACUUACAUAACUUGAUGGGAAUGUUCAUGUCCAUUGUGCACAAGGAACCGGUAAUUGGCCAGGACAUCAGGCCCUGCCAGGAUAUGACAAGGUUAUGGCAUCACCUGGGAGUAAGGUGUAAUAAAACUGUAAAUUGCACGCACUUCCGAAAGCAAGUUGCAACCAUGAUAAGACUUAUUUAUUUAAUUUGUGUAAUUUUACAAGAUCUUUCAUUUGGAUUAAAAACAUAAUAAAUGAGCUCUAUUUAUAAUGUGACCAUCCUCUUUUUAAAGUUGACUUUUGAUGCUAUUUUAAGUCAGGUAAAUCCUUUUUUCUUUUUCCAUA
Molecule: long non-coding RNA, 1896 nt
Filed under: Anneissia japonica
Lineage: Eukaryota; Metazoa; Echinodermata; Crinoidea; Comatulida; Comatulidae
Description: uncharacterized LOC117117797
Source: RNAcentral